This 460-nucleotide ribosomal RNA is filed under the name uncultured bacterium. RNAcentral describes it as "partial 16S ribosomal RNA". It matches the Rfam family "Bacterial small subunit ribosomal RNA", at positions 338 to 795 of the family's 1533-position model. The record is from RNAcentral.
CCUACGGGCGGCUGCAGUGAGGAAUAUUGGUCAAUGGACGAAAGUCUGAACCAGCCAAGUAGCGUGAAGGAUGACUGCCCUAUGGGUUGUAAACUGCUUUUAUAUGGGAAUAAAAUGUGCCACGUGUGGGAUUUUGUAUGUACCGUAUGAAUAAGGAUCGGCUAAUUCCGUGCCAGCAGCCGCGGUAAUACGGAGGGUCCGGGCGUUAUCCGGAUUUAUUGGGUUUAAAGGGAGCGUAGGUGGAAUGUUAAGUCAGUGGUGAAAGUUUGCGGCUCAACCGUAAAAUUGCAGCGGAAACUGGCAGGCUUGAGUACAGUAGAGGUGGGCGGAAUUCGUGGUGUAGCGGUGAAAUGCUUAGAUAUCACGAAGAACUCCGAUUGCGAAGGCAGCUCACUGGACUGCAACUGACACUGAGGCUCGAAAGUGUGGGUAUCAAACAGGAUUAGAUACCCUAGUAGUC